RNAcentral lists this unclassified non-coding RNA (357 nucleotides) under Hevea brasiliensis (rubber tree). The record is from RNAcentral. Lineage: Eukaryota; Viridiplantae; Streptophyta; Magnoliopsida; Malpighiales; Euphorbiaceae.
GGAUAGAGUAGCAGCUCACAAGUAGCAACUCACAUAGAGUGGUGAGGUUGAGCUUAGUCGGCAUGUGAAGCCAAGGUCAGCCAUAGAUGGCAUAAGCCGACAAGAGACAUUUGAGGUACUACACCCCAUAAAAUUGAAUCUCUCCCAAAACUAGAGAUGCAUAACAGCGAAUGAAAAACAAUCCUACAGGCAAACCACCAAGUAAGGUAAAGAAUCCUAGACCAAUAAAUAAUCUCACCAGAUCAAUGUCGAAUCAAUCACAAAUAGUAAAAGAAAAUAGAAACUGGAAACAAGGCGGAUCAAACAAGAGACUCUCUCUCUCUUUGAAGCCUAAACUGCUAAAGAACCCAAAAUGAA